CCUACGGGAGGCAGCAGUGAGGAAUAUUGGUCAAUGGACGAAAGUCUGAACCAGCCAUGCCGCGUGCAGGAAGACGGCUCUAGGAGUGGUAAACUGCUUUUGUACGAGGGUAAACGCAGAUCAGUGUAUGUGUCUGAAAGUAUCGUACGAAUAAGGAUCGGCUAACUCCGUGCCAGCAGCCGCGGUAAUACGGAGGGUUCAAGCGUUAUCCGGAUUUAUUGGGUUUAAAGGGUGGGUAGGCGGUCGGAUAAGUUAGAGGUGAAAUCCAGAGGCUCAACUUCGGAAUUGCCUCUGAUACUGUUCGGCUAGAGUGUAGUUGCGGUAGGCGGAAUGUAUGGUGUAGCGGUGAAAUGCUUAGAGAUCAUACAGAACACCGAUUGCGAAGGCAGCUUACCGAGCUACUUCUGACGUUGAGGCACGAAAGCGUGGGGAGCAAACAGGAUUAGAUACCCUAGUAGUC
RNAcentral lists this ribosomal RNA (460 nucleotides) under uncultured bacterium. Its description in RNAcentral is "partial 16S ribosomal RNA". It matches the Rfam family "Bacterial small subunit ribosomal RNA", at positions 338 to 795 of the family's 1533-position model. The record is from RNAcentral.